CUUCCAUCGUUGUGGAAAGUAACCAAGUUUGGUGAUGGCAUUAAAGAGCUUGGUUAUGUAGCGAACUGCAGAAUGUGGCAGCUGGAUGAUCAUUUCCGGUGUUAUAAGGUCGCAGCCGGGGGAUUUUUUCGGGCUGAGAUUGUCUUUGAUUAUUUUAGUUACUUCUUUAGGGCGAAACACAAUUGGGGUGUGUUGCUGGUGGCAGUUUACGGGAUAGGACGGUAGCGCGAAUGUGCUAGUAGCCUGGUUUGGCGUGAACACAUUUUGUAGGUGAGCGGCAAAUGUGGUGGCUCUGUCUUCAUCACUACGGGCCCAGCCACCUGAGGAAUUCCUUAUCGGCAAAACGGUUUCAGUCGGUGGGCGAAGAGUUGAGAGGGCUCGCCACAGUGACUUUUGUUUUGUGCCUGUUGGUGUGAGUUGCUCUAUGUAUCGGCGCUGAUCGUCGUCCUCUUCUUGUUUCAGAGCGUUGGCCAGUUUCCGUGUGGCUACUUUUAGCUUUUGUUUUGCAGUUGGGGAUCUGGAGGAUUGCCAUUCUCUGCGUAAGCGUCGUUUUACGUGGACGAGUUGCUCGAUUUGUACGUUGGUCUUUUUUGAAUUAAUUGUAUUAUUUGUUAUUUUGGGCGUUGCAGUAAGAGCUGCUGCAGUAAGGAUGGAUUGCAAUGCACACGUGCAGCUCUCUAUAUCAGAUUCAGUAUUGAGUUUUGGGUUUAGCUCAAUAUGUGAACUUAUAUAUUUUUUAUACCUGAGCCAGUUUGUUUUGUGGGAAGUCAGUCUGGAUGGUGGUUUAACGUUUUCUGCGUGCCGGCGGAGGUGAAUUAGUACAGGCGAGUGGUCAGAUGACAGAUCCGGCAGACAUUCAGCUUUAACCAAACUGCGGGAAAUAUUUUUCGUAACUGCGAAGUCGAUCAGGUCAGGCAGCUUAUUGAGGUCUGAUGGCCAGUAUGUAGGACUCCCGGGGGAAACAUGGUCGAGUUUAUUAGUGGCUUUAAUUAUAGUCUUAUAAAGCUGUUUUCCUUUUGGGUUCACAAGUCGCGAUCCCCAGUGAGUGUGUUUAGCGUUGUAGUCGCCUGCUGCAAUGAAGUGUGGCCCUAGUGCUUGGAAGAAAUCCAGGAAUUGAUCUUCUAAUACUGUGAAACGGGGGGGGCAGUAUACGGCCGCUAGUGUAAGGAGAGUGUUGUCUUCCAGCUGAAUGUUGAUGGAUGUGGCCUGAAGAUGAUUUUCCGCAAAUUCUUUGUAAAAGUGGUGCUUCAUACGGUUCCUUAUGAGUAUGGCGGUGCCACCGUGUGCUUUUCCGUCGGGAUGAUUUGUACCGUAGAAAUGGUAGUCUCUUAUUUGGAAAUUGUAUUUGCUUGUGAGAUGAGUUUCCGAAAGAAGCAUAACGUCGAUAUGCUUCUCAUGUAGGAAUUGAGCUAGCUCAAGUUUGCGCUGUGAGACGCCAUUGGCGUUCCACGUAGCUAUGCGUAAGGUAGCCAUUGUUUAUUUGUUUUGUUGGGCUACAAGCAUUUGUAUCAAAAGGUUUUGAUUACGCAUCAUGUCUUGGAUGGUGGUCUUCAUGAAUGUCAUAAAUUCCAUCAUGCUCUGUUGUAAGGCUUGGAUCAUAGCUUCAGUUUUUGUUUCCUGCUGCGCAGCUGGGCUAUAGUUUUGUUGUGUGUCUAAUUUUGUGUACACUUCAUGUGGAGUUCGGGAAUUUUGGGUUGGAGGCGUCAUACCUGAUUUUAAAACGUUUGCAAAUGUUGUCUUGUUAGUGUUGGAUGUAGGCCAGGGAGCGAAACUUGCUGCUUUCGAGAAAAUUACUUCAGGAUUUGUCUCUGAUGGUAUCAGCGUAGCUGUUCCUUGGUGUGCCCGCGCCGUGUUCAUUCUUUUGUGAAGACGGGUUUUCAGCUCUUUGUAGAUUGGACAGCCUCUGUAGUUUGCUGUGUGAUUGCCCCCACAGUUAUUGCAUUUUUUCUCACAUGCAUUUUUUUUGUUAGUUUGACACUGUUUGGAGUCGUGGAGAUCUCCACAGACUACGCACACCGGGCGAAGUGUACAAUACGACCUUGUGUGGCCGUACUCUUGGCAGUUUGUACAUUGUACGUAGCCCAAUUGUGGAACUUUCUUGCUAAAAUUUUUAGAAUACUAUUUGGGUUAAACCAAUUAGUUCUAUCAAUUAUACGAUAUCAAUUACAAUCAAUUCAGAACUGGCACGGACUUGGGGAUCCGACUGUCUAAUUAAAACAAAGCAUUGUGAUGGCCCUAGCGGGUGUUGACACAAUGUGAUUUCUGCCCAGUGCUCUGAAUGUCAAAGUGAAGAAAUUCAAGUAAGCGCGGGUCAACGGCGGGAGUAACUAUGACUCUCUUAAGGUAGCCAAAUGCCUCGUCAUCUAAUUAGUGACGCGCAUGAAUGGAUUAACGAGAUUCCUACUGUCCCUAUCUACUAUCUAGCGAAACCACAGCCAAGGGAACGGGCUUGGAAUAAUUAGCGGGGAAAGAAGACCCUUUUGAGCUUGACUCUAAUCUGGCAGUGUAAGGAGACAUAAGAGGUGUAGAAUAAGUGGGAGAUAUUAGACCUCGGUUUGGUAUCGUCAAUGAAAUACCACUACUCUUAUUGUUUCCUUACUUACUUGAUUAAAUGGAACGUGUAUCAUUUCCUAGCCAUUAUACGGAUAUAUUUAUUAUAUCUUAUGGUAUUGGGUUUUGAUGCAAGCUUCUUGAUCAAAGUAUCACGAGUUUGUUAUAUAAUCGCAAACAAAUUCUUUAAUAAAACGAUGCAUUUAUGUAUUUUUGAUUUGAAAAUUUGGUAUAACUCCAAUUACUCAGGUAUGAUCCAAUUCAAGGACAUUGCCAGGUAGGGAGUUUGACUGGGGCGGUACAUCUCUCAAAUAAUAAAGGAGGUGUCCCAAGGCCAGCUCAGUGCGGACAGAAACCACACAUAGAGCAAAAGGGCAAAUGCUGACUUGAUCUCGGUGUUCAGUACACACAGGGACAGCAAAAGCUCGGCCUAUCGAUCCUUUUGGUUUAAAGAGUUUUUAACAAGAGGUGUCAGAAAAGUUACCAUAGGGAUAACUGGCUCGUGGCGGCCAAGCGUUCAAAAAGACGUCGCUUUUUGAUCCUUCGAUGUCGGCUCUUCCUCAACAUUGUGAAGCAAAAUUC
This 3132-nucleotide ribosomal RNA is filed under the name Drosophila sechellia. RNAcentral describes it as "eukaryotic LSU rRNA". The stretch from base 1749 to 3132 matches the Rfam family "Eukaryotic large subunit ribosomal RNA", at positions 1891 to 2915 of the family's 3401-position model. The record is from RNAcentral. Lineage: Eukaryota; Metazoa; Arthropoda; Insecta; Diptera; Drosophilidae.